Molecule: ribosomal RNA, 253 nt
Filed under: uncultured bacterium
Lineage: Bacteria
Description: partial 16S ribosomal RNA
Rfam family: Bacterial small subunit ribosomal RNA
Source: RNAcentral
UACGGGGGGGGCAAGCGUUGUUCGGAAUUACUGGGCGUAAAGGGCUCGUAGGUGGCCAACUAAGUCAGACGUGAAAUCCCUCGGCUUAACCGGGGAACUGCGUCUGAUACUGGAUGGCUUGAGGUUGGGAGAGGGAUGCGGAAUUCCAGGUGUAGCGGUGAAAUGCGUAGAUAUCUGGAGGAACACCGGUGGCGAAGGCGGCAUCCUGGACCGACACUGACGCUGAGGCGCGAAAGCUAGGGGAGCAAACGGG